GACGAACGCUGGCGGCGUGCUUAACACAUGCAAGUCGAACGGAAAGGCCCUGCUUUUGUGGGGUGCUCGAGUGGCGAACGGGUGAGUAACACGUGAGUAACCUGCCCUUGACUUUGGGAUAACUUCAGGAAACUGGGGCUAAUACCGGAUAGGAGCUCCUGCUGCAUGGUGGGGGUUGGAAAGUUUCGGCGGUUGGGGAUGGACUCGCGGCUUAUCAGCUUGUUGGUGGGGUAGUGGCUUACCAAGGCUUUGACGGGUAGCCGGCCUGAGAGGGUGACCGGCCACAUUGGGACCGAGAUACGGCCCAGACUCCUACGGGAGGCAGCAGUGGGGAAUAUUGCACAAUGGGCGGAAGCCUGAUGCAGCAACGCCGCGUGCGGGAUGACGGCCUUCGGGUUGUAAACCGCUUUCGCCUGUGACGAAGCGUGAGCGACGGUAAUGGGUAAAGAAGCACCGGCUAACUACGUG
Molecule: ribosomal RNA, 468 nt
Filed under: uncultured bacterium
Lineage: Bacteria
Description: partial 16S ribosomal RNA
Rfam family: Bacterial small subunit ribosomal RNA
Source: RNAcentral